GUGUCAGCAGCCGCGGUAAUACAGGGGGUGCAAGCGUUGUCCGGAAUGAUUGGGCGUAAAGCAUUCGUAGGUGGUUCUUAAAGUCAACUGUUAAAUCCCAGAGCUCAACUUUGGUCAAGCAGUUGAGUACUUAGGGACUUGAGUAUGGUAGGGGCAGAGGGAAUUCCUAGUGGAGCGGUGAAAUGCACAGAGAUUAGGAAGAACACCAGUGGCGAAAGCGCUCUGCUGGGCCAUGACUGACACUGAGGGAUGAAAGUUAGGGGAGCGAAAAGGAUUAGAUACCCUUGUAGUCCUAACCGUAAACGAUGGAUACUAAAUGCUGUCAAAAACAGUGUUGAAGCUAACGCGUUAAGUAUCCCGCCUGGGGAGUAUGCUCGCAAGAGUGAA
This 387-nucleotide ribosomal RNA is filed under the name uncultured bacterium. RNAcentral describes it as "bacterial SSU rRNA". It matches the Rfam family "Bacterial small subunit ribosomal RNA", at positions 505 to 898 of the family's 1533-position model. The record is from RNAcentral.